This 287-nucleotide ribosomal RNA is filed under the name uncultured Ralstonia sp. Its description in RNAcentral is "partial 16S ribosomal RNA". It matches the Rfam family "Bacterial small subunit ribosomal RNA", at positions 71 to 358 of the family's 1533-position model. The record is from RNAcentral. Lineage: Bacteria; Pseudomonadati; Pseudomonadota; Betaproteobacteria; Burkholderiales; Burkholderiaceae.
GGGGGUAGCUUGCUACCUGCCGGCGAGUGGCGAACGGGUGAGUAAUACAUCGGAACGUGCCCUGUAGUGGGGGAUAACUAGUCGAAAGACUGGCUAAUACCGCAUACGACCUGAGGGUGAAAGUGGGGGACCGCAAGGCCUCAUGCUAUAGGAGCGGCCGAUGUCUGAUUAGCUAGUUGGUGGGGUAAAGGCCCACCAAGGCGACGAUCAGUAGCUGGUCUGAGAGGACGAUCAGCCACACUGGGACUGAGACACGGCCCAGACUCCUACGGGAGGCAGCAGUGGGA